This 281-nucleotide ribosomal RNA is filed under the name uncultured prokaryote. Its description in RNAcentral is "partial 16S ribosomal RNA". It matches the Rfam family "Bacterial small subunit ribosomal RNA", at positions 524 to 803 of the family's 1533-position model. The record is from RNAcentral.
UACGUAGGGGGCUAGCGUUAUCCGGAAUUACUGGGCGUAAAGGGUGCGUAGGUGGUUUCUUAAGUCAGAGGUGAAAGGCUACGGCUCAACCGUAGUAAGCCUUUGAAACGGGGAAACUUGAGUGCAGGAGAGGAGAGUGGAAUUCCUAGUGUAGCGGUGAAAUGCGUAGAUAUUAGGAGGAACACCAGUUGCGAAGGCGGCUCUCUGGACUGUAACUGACACUGAGGCACGAAAGCGUGGGGAGCAAACAGGAUUAGAUACCCUGGUAGUCCCUGAGCGGG